UACGUAGGGUGCGAGCGUUAAUCGGAAUUACUGGGCGUAAAGCGUGCGCAGGCGGUUUUGUAAGCCAGAUGUGAAAGCCCCGGGCUUAACCUGGGAAUGGCAUUUGGGACUGCAAGGCUUGAGUGCGGCAGAGGAGACUGGAAUUCCUGGUGUAGCAGUGAAAUGCGUAGAUAUCAGGAGGAAUACCGAUGGCGAAGGCAGGUCUCUGGGCUGACACUGACGCUCAUGCACGAAAGGCGUGGGGAGCAAACAGG
Molecule: ribosomal RNA, 254 nt
Filed under: uncultured bacterium
Lineage: Bacteria
Description: partial 16S ribosomal RNA
Rfam family: Bacterial small subunit ribosomal RNA
Source: RNAcentral